Hordeum vulgare subsp. vulgare (domesticated barley) is the source of this 357-nucleotide long non-coding RNA. RefSeq lists it as uncharacterized. Lineage: Eukaryota; Viridiplantae; Streptophyta; Magnoliopsida; Poales; Poaceae. The record is from RefSeq and is a predicted model, not a curated record. The transcript is spliced from 3 exons.
UCCUACCUUUUUAUUUUCAGAUUAUAUACAUGGACCAUCUCGACUUUCCUGAAUCAUCUAUUUUGACACAUCACAUAAAGUACUCACUCCCUAGAGCAUCCCACGUAACAGAUGAGGACUUCAAAUUUGUCAUGCUACAUGAUAAAAGCAGAUUGACCCUCAACGCACAUAUUUAUGGUGCGCGACCGUUCCGUGCACCCGAAAGCACACCAUAUGCCAUCCAACGGUCAAACUACGAUGACCAACCUGCUACACACCCAUAUAUACAACAAACAGAAAACAAUUGUACCAACCAUCCACCACAGACCGAAGAAAAUCAGGACAUGCAUCACGAGGCCCCUAGAUUUCCUAUCAAGC